This 412-nucleotide ribosomal RNA is filed under the name uncultured bacterium. Its description in RNAcentral is "bacterial SSU rRNA". It matches the Rfam family "Bacterial small subunit ribosomal RNA", at positions 28 to 431 of the family's 1533-position model. The record is from RNAcentral.
GAUGAACGCUGGCGGCGUGCCUAAUACAUGCAAGUCGAACGCACAGCGAAAGGUGCUUGCACCUUUCAAGUGAGUGGCGAACGGGUGAGUAACACGUGGAUAACCUACCUCAAGGUUGGGGAUAACAUUUGGAAACAGAUGCUAAUACCGAAUAAAACUUAGUAUCGCAUGAUACCAGGUUAAAAGGCGCUACGGCGUCACCUAGAGAUGGAUCCGCGGUGCAUUAGUUAGUCGGUGGGUAAAGGCUUACCAAGACAAUGAUGCAUAGCCGAGUUGAGAGACUGAUCGGCACAUUGGACUGAGACACGGCCCAAACUCCUACGGGAGGCUGCAGUAGGGAAUCUUCCACAAUGGGCGAAAGCCUGAUGGAGCAACGCCGCGUGUGUGAUGAAGGCUUUCGGGUCGUAAAGGC